UACGUAGGGUGCAAGCGUUAAUCGGAAUUACUGGGCGUAAAGCGUGCGCAGGCGGUUAUGUAAGACAGGUGUGAAAUCCCCGGGCUUAACCUGGGAACUGCAUUUGUGACUGCAUAGCUAGAGUACGGUAGAGGGGGAUGGAAUUCCGCGUGUAGCAGUGAAAUGCGUAGAUAUGCGGAGGAACACCGAUGGCGAAGGCAAUCCCCUAGACCUGUACUGACGCUCAUGCACGAAAGCGUGGGGAGCAAACAGG
This 253-nucleotide ribosomal RNA is filed under the name uncultured bacterium. Its description in RNAcentral is "partial 16S ribosomal RNA". It matches the Rfam family "Bacterial small subunit ribosomal RNA", at positions 524 to 776 of the family's 1533-position model. The record is from RNAcentral.